UUUAUCUCCCCCAUCCAGCCGCCGUUUUCCCCAUCUUCUUCCUCCUCCUCCUCCUCACAACUCAACUAGCAUCACCGCUGCCGGAGAUUUUCUUCCUCCUCCUCCUCCUCACAACUCAACUAGCAUCACCGCUGCUGGAGAUUAAGAAAGAUAGAAGCAGAAAGUAGCCAUGGCGGCCAAGAACCCCAAGGUCUUCUUCGACAUCCUCAUCGGCCAGGCCAAGGCGGGCCGGGUCAUCAUGGAGCUCUACGCCGACAAGGUGCCCAAGACGGCGGCCAACUUCCGGCAGCUCUGCACGGGCGAGAAGGGCCUGGGCAAGAGCGGCAAGCCGCUCCACUACAAGGGGUCGGCCUUCCACCGCAUCAUCCCGGGCUUCAUGUGCCAGGGCGGCGACUUCACCCGCGGCAACGGCACCGGCGGCGAGUCGGUCUACGGCCAAAAGUUCGCCGACGAGAACUUCCUGCUCCGCCACACGGGCCCCGGGGUCCUCUCCAUGGCCAACGCCGGGCCCGGCACCAACGGCUCCCAGUUCUUCAUCUGCACCGCCAAGACGCCGUGGCUCGACGGCAAGCACGUCGUGUUCGGGCAGGUUGUCGAUGGAUACCGCGUCGUGGAGAAGAUGGAGGCCGUCGGCUCGUCCGGUGGCGCCACCGCCGAGCCCGUCGUCAUCGAGGACUGCGGCCAGCUCCCCGACGGUUCAGUCGGAGGAUGAAGAUGAAGUGGGCGACUAUGAAGAGGUGUUGUAGUGGAGGCCAGAUGCAAGGAUAUGUGCUAGACGGAGGAAACAGCAGCAGCAUCAUCACAGUAGAACAAGUGAUGAUGCCCAGUGUGCUCCAAAUGCACAAUUUUUUUUUAACAACAGAUUAGCGAAGAUUCUAAUAUUGUCGGCGGGCAGGAGGUCGCACAAAGAGCAAGCUGGUCCAUCACCGUUUGGACGUGAGUGAGUUUGCUCUCGGCGACGACAGAGGCGCGGGGACGGAGGAAGAGCCCGGCCUCCGCAACAGCGGCGAUAGUGUAGGGGGGCAAGCAGUAAUUGGGACACCAAGUUGACAAGCAGUAACAUCAGCUGGCUAGUUGCUCUGUGUUUUGUCUCUGUUUGUGUGUUCGUUUCAGUUUUGCACAUACUAGUGAAGCUGCUGCUGUUUAUGUUGGUUUAGGAUUCCAUUUGGUAUCGAAUAUGAUGAUAUGAAGUGAAGGUGUCCCUGACCUGAUCAUGUACGUACUUCACUUGUGGGUUGUCAUGUUGUUUUUGUGCAAAUUAUAUAGUCAAAUGAAUGAAGUUUCAUUUAGG
This is an RNA transcript of Triticum urartu, 1291 nucleotides long. It is a transcript of the gene named peptidyl-prolyl cis-trans isomerase, with no coding region annotated. The record is from RefSeq and is a predicted model, not a curated record. Lineage: Eukaryota; Viridiplantae; Streptophyta; Magnoliopsida; Poales; Poaceae.